UAGAAGCGUAUAUUAAUUUUGUUGCAGUUAAAAAGCUCGUAGUUGGAUUUCUGGUGGGAGGGAUCGGUCCGCUUUAUAGUGGUACUUGUGUCUUCUCCGGCCAUCCUUGGGUGGAGGUUGUCUGGCAUUAAGUUGUCGGGCAGCGGAUGCCCAUCGUUUACUGUGAAAAAAUUAGAGUGUUCAAAGCAGGCUUAUGCCGUUGAAUAUAUUAGCAUGGAAUAAUAAGAUAGGACUUUGGUACUAUUUUGUUGGUUUGCGCACCGAAGUAAUGAUCAAUAGGGACAGUUGGGGGUAUUCGUAUUCAGUUGUCAGAGGUGAAAUUCUUAGAUUUACGGAAGACGAACUACUGCGAAAGCAUUUACCAAGGAUGUUUUCAUUAA
Molecule: ribosomal RNA, 380 nt
Filed under: uncultured eukaryote
Lineage: Eukaryota
Description: partial 18S ribosomal RNA
Rfam family: Eukaryotic small subunit ribosomal RNA
Source: RNAcentral